AUGAGCUUCCACGUGACAGUGGAACAGCCACACCCCCGGGUUGUCCGCCCGGAACCGCACCGCCGUCCACCCAUCCGGGUGCAGUGGCACCGUGUUCUUCAUGAUGGGAUCUCUCACGUUGAGCAGCCUCCAGGCGUCCGCGGCAGGGUUGAACUUACCUUCACCAUGGCCAAGCACCCAGAAGUCGUGACCAUGGAGAUGCCACGGGUGCGUCUCGCUCUUGUUAUUGAGCAUGUUGGAGUUCUGCAGCACCACGUCCACCACGGAGCCGAGCGCAAGCCGGUACACCGGGCUGCCCACGGUCCCGUUCGUCGGCGCCGGCGCGGAGAUGUCGUGGCUCAUGUGGUCGUACAUGUCGGGCGGCGGGCGUUGCUCGUACGCGUCUUUCAUGCCGCGCUUCAUCGCCACGAGGUACGGCGUGGCCGGGAACAUGAGCGACACGCCAUUGAUGGUCCACUUGAUGUGGCCAUCGAUCCGGUUCUGGGUGUUGAGGAGGAGCAGUGUGCGGUCGGCCCUCGCCGGCAUGGGCUCUACGAAGCGUGGGUGCGCGAAGAUGGCCCUGCUCUGCUCCACCCUGAUAGCCGUGUUGUUCCAUGGCGGGCCAGCCGGUGGCGCCGUGGGCGGAGGCAUCCACGGGUUGUUGCCGUUGAAGGCGUAGCUCACGACGGCCUUGCCGGUCGGUGUCUGGCUGGGGUUGCGGCCGACGACGUGGGACGCAGCCCAGUAGUUUCUCCGCGGGUCCUGGUCGGCCUUGACCAGCACGGAGUACGUCUCGCCGGAGUAGAUGAAGAGGCCCCUCACCGCGAACGGCCGCACGUAGUGCCCGUCGGCCUCCACGACCAUCAUGGAGUGGCCCUCUAUCUCGAAGUAGAGCGAUGA
This 879-nucleotide ribosomal RNA is filed under the name Triticum aestivum (bread wheat). RNAcentral describes it as "partial small subunit ribosomal RNA". Lineage: Eukaryota; Viridiplantae; Streptophyta; Magnoliopsida; Poales; Poaceae. The record is from RNAcentral.